RNAcentral lists this ribosomal RNA (301 nucleotides) under uncultured bacterium. RNAcentral describes it as "partial 16S ribosomal RNA". It matches the Rfam family "Bacterial small subunit ribosomal RNA", at positions 509 to 807 of the family's 1533-position model. The record is from RNAcentral.
CAGUAGCCGCGGGAAUACGAAGGGGGCUAGCGUUGCUCGGAAUCACUGGGCGUAAAGGGUGCGUAGGCGGGUCUUUAAGUCAGGGGUGAAAUCCUGGAGCUCAACUCCAGAACUGCCUUUGAUACUGAAGAUCUUGAGUUCGGGAGAGGUGAGUGGAACUGCGAGUGUAGAGGUGAAAUUCGUAGAUAUUCGCAAGAACACCAGUGGCGAAGGCGGCUCACUGGCCCGAUACUGACGCUGAGGCACGAAAGCGUGGGGAGCAAAUAGGAUUAGAUACCCGUGUAGUCCCUGUCUCUUAUAC